UGGACAUAUUAUUGUAUUCGACUGUAUUCACAGCGUGAAACAGGGGAUUACACUAUUUUUAAAUGGAAAGUGAAUCAAUUAACAUAAUAGACUCCU
This 96-nucleotide microRNA precursor is filed under the name Nicotiana attenuata. RNAcentral's name for it is "MIR6152 microRNA precursor family". It matches the Rfam family "MIR6152 microRNA precursor family". Lineage: Eukaryota; Viridiplantae; Streptophyta; Magnoliopsida; Solanales; Solanaceae. The record is from Rfam by way of RNAcentral.